Molecule: ribosomal RNA, 391 nt
Filed under: uncultured bacterium
Lineage: Bacteria
Description: bacterial SSU rRNA
Rfam family: Bacterial small subunit ribosomal RNA
Source: RNAcentral
GAUGAACGCUAGCGGCAGGCUUAAUACAUGCAAGUCGUGGGGCAGCAUGAGUAGCAAUACUUGAUGGCGACCGGCAAACGGGUGAGGAACACGUACACAACCUUCCUUCAAGCGGGGAAUAGCCCAGAGAAAUUUGGAUUAAUACCCCAUAAUAUAUUUGAUAAGGCAUCUUAUUAAAUAUUAAAGCUUCGGCACUUGAUGAUGGGUGUGCGGCUGAUUAGAUAGUUGGCGGGUAACGGCCCACCAAGUCUACGAUCAGUAGCUGAUGUGAGAGCAUGAUCAGCCACACGGGCACUGAGACACGGGCCCGACUCCUACGGGAGGCAGCAGUAAGGAAUAUUGGACAAUGGACGAAAGGUACUGAUCCAGCCAACUGCCGCCGUGAAGGAUU